Molecule: long non-coding RNA, 366 nt
Filed under: Nicotiana tabacum (common tobacco)
Lineage: Eukaryota; Viridiplantae; Streptophyta; Magnoliopsida; Solanales; Solanaceae
Description: long non-coding RNA (NTAB_LNC015909)
Source: RNAcentral
GAGGAAUAGCAACAGCCCAUAUGAAUCAUAAUUCCAAGACCUUCCAUAAUAGAAAAUGACAACAAACAUGUGAUAAACCAAAAGCUGAAGUCUACAACCCAACUUACAUCCCACAAAAAUUAUUAAGUUAGUUAAAGCUGGCUAAGACAAAAGUUAGAAAGAAGCAGCAAGCAGCCAAGCACCAUGAAUGUUCUGAACUAAUCAAUACUCAAAGCUUCACCUGGACAUUCUGAAAAGAAAAAAAAAAAUAAUUACAUGUUAAACAAUAUAAAGAUAGAAUCAAAUUCAUUAUGAAUUAAAUAUAUAAAAUUACCUUCUUCAACUUGCUCAAUUUUCUUAAUUUCUUCUAGAUAAUCUUGAAGCUUG